RNAcentral lists this long non-coding RNA (1679 nucleotides) under Gossypium barbadense (sea-island cotton). Its description in RNAcentral is "long non-coding RNA (GBAR_LNC012751)". Lineage: Eukaryota; Viridiplantae; Streptophyta; Magnoliopsida; Malvales; Malvaceae. The record is from RNAcentral.
GGUCCAAAUCUAAUUAAUAAAUAUAACUUUACAUAUUAUAUACAUAGCCACGUACAUAACAUUUUCUAAACGUAUGCAUUACUAUGGAAACUAAUUAAUAUAGUAUACAUUCUCAAAUAAAUACAGCCCCUGAAGCAGGGAAGAAAUUCUUUUGUUCACAAAAGAAAAAAAAUCACCGAAUGAGAAAAUGAAGAAAAUUUUGUCAAAGUACUCUUGUUUAUGAGAGAAGGCCAAGCAAUGGCAGUGGAGUCGAGGACUUUCUAGGCAAAAGCUUGUUCAUAUGAAACAUGAGAGAUAUAAUUUGGUUUCUUAACCAAUGUGUCGUGAUAAACAUCCUAACCGGUCCAACUCCAAUUAACCUUUUUGCAUUUGAUCUAAGAAAAUUAAUAUAAAAACCAUGCUUCUCUGAGUUUAACGUUUGUUUUACUCAUGAAUUGUUGAUGCCCAAACAUUUUUCUUGUGUAGGAAUCCACCCAUUUCUAGCCCGGUAGGUGCAGAAGUGGACAUGCAUGACAUACCAAUAUUGAUUAAUUUAGAUCUCCAUACCAAUUCUCAAAGAAGCAUCACUAAAGAUUUCAAAAAGUUGAUGGCAUAUGAUUUCCUACAUAAAAAGCAUUCAUAUAAUUUACACUUGUUCUUUGUAUCAUAAAUUUUGUGAUAUGUCUUCAUUUUAAAAAUAAAAAAGAAAUAAAUUUAAUCUAAAACCAGAAGUACCAUAUGAACAACCAAAGCUCCCAGGAAAACUUCCAUUUUGGCCUUGCAGUAAGCAAUGGACUGGAGUGAAGUUGUGUUCAACCCAAAUAUCUACAGAAAUUGAAAGCAACAUUACAUAUGGAAGAAUCACAAGGCAAUUUAAACAUAAUCGAAUUGAAUUUUAAUCAAUACCUGUUUUUGUAGUCUUCAAAAAGAAACAAAUUGAUAUCAUGAAAUGGAAGCACAACUAUUCAAAAUUAUAUUAUCUCACAACACACCAUUCAAAAAGAGGACCAACAAUAGAAAAACGUUACACAUAACUAUAUUUACAUAUUAUUUCCUUAAGAAAUAAAAGUAAUAAAUGUGAGAAGAUAAGAGUUGAAGUGCCUUACCAUCCACCAUUGUUUUGCUUGAUUUGCAGUCAGGAGUGAAGCCACAACAAUUUUUUAGGGGGUUGAUUGAAAUUUUAAUUUUUUAUAGUCUAUAUAUUUAUAAUUUUUAAAGGAGGAGGGGGCGUGGACCCUGCCAGCCCCCUAUAUUCGCCUCUGUUUGCAGCAGAGGAAUGGACAACAACUAGAGUUCGAAAAGAUUUUUGUAAAAAAUAAUAAAAAUUUUCAUGAAUGGAAGAAAUUAAUUAGAUAUGGAAGGAAUCUAGAAAGAGAUUAAGUUUACAUCUAAGGACUCCACCUUCUUUUCCAGAUCACAAAGAUGUUGAAGCUUCCUGACUCUUAAUUUCUGAGCAAAGAAACGAUUUGAAAUCAGCUACAUAUAUAGCAUCUUUGUGACAUGGAAAAAGAAAGGGAAGUAUUUAGAUAGAUUAAAGAAAAGAAGAGAGAAAGAACUGGCUGUUUAAGCUUUCUGGUGUCUAUGUUUUGUUCUUGGUGACAAACCACAUGGACAAGAACGACAUUGCCAUUGGCAACGACAAAGUUUUAGGUUGCAGAGAAACCAUGGGAGGAGAGGAUGCUCUGGUAGGAGAAGGUGAA